UUGACGGGACCGCACAAGCGGUGGAUGAUGUGGUUUAAUUCGAUGCAACGCGAAAACCUUACCCACCUUUGACAUGUACGGAAUCCUUUAGAGAUAGAGGAGUGCUCGAAAGAGAGCCGUAACACAGGUGCUGCAUGGCUGUCGUCAGCUCGUGUCGUGAGAUGUUGGGUUAAGUCCCGCAACGAGCGCAACCCUUGUCAUUAGUUGCUACAUUCAGUUGGGCACUCUAAUGAGACUGCCGGUGACAAACCGGAGGAAGGUGGGGAUGACGUCAAGUCCUCAUGGCCCUUAUAGGUGGGGCUACACACGUCAUACAAUGGAUGGUACAAAGGGUAGCCAACCCGCGAGGGGGAGCCAAUCCCACAAAGCCGGUCGUAGUCCGGAUCGCAGUCUGCAACUCGACUGCGUGAAGUCGGAAUCGCUAGUAAUCGCGGAUCAGCAUGUCGCGGUGAAUACGUUCCCGGGUCUU
Molecule: ribosomal RNA, 469 nt
Filed under: uncultured Acidovorax sp.
Lineage: Bacteria; Pseudomonadati; Pseudomonadota; Betaproteobacteria; Burkholderiales; Comamonadaceae
Description: bacterial SSU rRNA
Rfam family: Bacterial small subunit ribosomal RNA
Source: RNAcentral